GACAGAGGGUGCAAACGUUGUUCGGAAUUACUGGGCGUAAAGCGCGUGUAGGCGGCUAAGUAAGUCGGGCGUGAAAUCCCACGGCUCAACCGUGGAAGUGCACUCGAAACUGCAUAGCUAGAGUCCUGGAGAGGAAGGUGGAAUGCUUGGUGUAGAGGUGAAAUUCGUAGAUAUCAAGCGGAACACCGGUGGCGAAGGCGGGUCUCUGGGCAUCUCCUGACGCUGAGGCGCGAAAGCGUGGGGAGCAAACGGGG
Molecule: ribosomal RNA, 254 nt
Filed under: uncultured bacterium
Lineage: Bacteria
Description: partial 16S ribosomal RNA
Rfam family: Bacterial small subunit ribosomal RNA
Source: RNAcentral